This 580-nucleotide ribosomal RNA is filed under the name Mycobacterium tuberculosis variant bovis. RNAcentral's name for it is "bacterial SSU rRNA". It matches the Rfam family "Bacterial small subunit ribosomal RNA", at positions 56 to 637 of the family's 1533-position model. Lineage: Bacteria; Bacillati; Actinomycetota; Actinomycetes; Mycobacteriales; Mycobacteriaceae. The record is from RNAcentral.
UGCAAGUCGAACGGAAAGGUCUCUUCGGAGAUACUCGAGUGGCGAACGGGUGAGUAACACGUGGGUGAUCUGCCCUGCACUUCGGGAUAAGCCUGGGAAACUGGGUCUAAUACCGGAUAGGACCACGGGAUGCAUGUCUUGUGGUGGAAAGCGCUUUAGCGGUGUGGGAUGAGCCCGCGGCCUAUCAGCUUGUUGGUGGGGUGACGGCCUACCAAGGCGACGACGGGUAGCCGGCCUGAGAGGGUGUCCGGCCACACUGGGACUGAGAUACGGCCCAGACUCCUACGGGAGGCAGCAGUGGGGAAUAUUGCACAAUGGGCGCAAGCCUGAUGCAGCGACGCCGCGUGGGGGAUGACGGCCUUCGGGUUGUAAACCUCUUUCACCAUCGACGAAGGUCCGGGUUCUCUCGGAUUGACGGUAGGUGGAGAAGAAGCACCGGCCAACUACGUGCCAGCAGCCGCGGUAAUACGUAGGGUGCGAGCGUUGUCCGGAAUUACUGGGCGUAAAGAGCUCGUAGGUGGUUUGUCGCGUUGUUCGUGAAAUCUCACGGCUUAACUGUGAGCGUGCGGGCGAUACGGGC